GAUGAAGAACGCAGCGAAAUGCGAUAAGUAAUGUGAAUUGCAGAAUUCAGUGAAUCAUCGAAUCUUUGAACGCACCUUGCGCUCCCUGGUAUUCCGGGGAGCACGCCUGUUCGAGUGUCGCGAAAUUCUUCAAGCCUUGGAUGGAUUUUUUUUGUCUGUCCUUGGGCUUGGUUGUUGGGCUCUGCCGUGUCCUUCAUUGGGACGGCUGGCCUUAAAAGCAUUAGCCGAUCCUCGUGUGGUACUGGUUCUACUCAGCGUGAUAACAAUCUGAUCGUUGAGGACAUCUUCUGGAUGGCCAGUCAUCAUUUGGGUUGCUUCUAAACCGGUUUCGCAGAUUGCUCAAUCUGUGUGCCACUUUUCAGCUUUGACCUCGAAUCAGGUGGGACUACCCGCUGAACUUAAGCAUAUCAAUAGCGGAGGA
RNAcentral lists this unclassified non-coding RNA (421 nucleotides) under soil metagenome. RNAcentral describes it as "partial contains 5.8S ribosomal RNA, internal transcribed spacer 2, and large subunit ribosomal RNA". The stretch from base 1 to 120 matches the Rfam family "5.8S ribosomal RNA", at positions 35 to 154 of the family's 154-position model. The record is from RNAcentral.